RNAcentral lists this ribosomal RNA (874 nucleotides) under uncultured bacterium. RNAcentral describes it as "bacterial SSU rRNA". It matches the Rfam family "Bacterial small subunit ribosomal RNA", at positions 63 to 904 of the family's 1533-position model. The record is from RNAcentral.
CGAGCGAGCGGAACCACAGAUUUACUUCGGUAAUGACGUUGGGAAAGCGAGCGGCGGAUGGGUGAGUAACACGUGGGGAACCUGCCCCUAAGUCUGGGAUACCAUUUGGAAACAGGUGCUAAUACCGGAUAAUAAAGCGGAUCGCAUGAUCAGCUUUUGAAAGGCGGCGUAAGCUGUCGCUAAGGGAUGGCCCCGCGGUGCAUUAGCUAGUUGGUAAGGUAACGGCUUACCAAGGCGACGAUGCAUAGCCGAGUUGAGAGACUGAUCGGCCACAUUGGGACUGAGACACGGCCCAAACUCCUACGGGAGGCAGCAGUAGGGAAUCCUCCACAAUGGACGCAAGUCUGAUGGAGCAACGCCGCGUGAGUGAAGAAGGUUUUCGGAUCGUAAAGCUCUGUUGUUGGUGAAGAAGGAUAGAGGUAGUAACUGGCCUUUAUUUGACGGUAAUCAACCAGAAAGUCACGGCUAACUACGUGCCAGCAGCCGCGGUAAUACGUAGGUGGCAAGCGUUGUCCGGAUUUAUUGGGCGUAAAGCGAGCGCAGGCGGAAAAAUAAGUCUAAUGUGAAAGCCCUCGGCUUAACCGAGGAACUGCAUCGGAAACUGUUUUUCUUGAGUGCAGAAGAGGAGAGUGGAACUCCAUGUGUAGCGGUGGAAUGCGUAGAUAUAUGGAAGAACACCAGUGGCGAAGGCGGCUCUCUGGUCUGCAACUGACGCUGAGGCUCGAAAGCAUGGGUAGCGAACAGGAUUAGAUACCCUGGUAGUCCAUGCCGUAAACGAUGAGUGCUAAGUGUUGGGAGGUUUCCGCCUCUCAGUGCUGCAGCUAACGCAUUAAGCACUCCGCCUGGGGAGUACGACCGCAAGGUUGAAACUCAA